UAGGGAAUCUUCCGCAAUGGACGCAAGUCUGACGGAGAAAAGCCGCGUGAGUGAAGAAGGAUUUCGGUUCGUAAAACUCUGUUGUUAGAGAAGAACAGCGCAUAGAGUAAAUGUUAUGCGUGUGACGGUAUCUAACCAGAAAGCCACGGCUAACUACGUGCCAGCAGCUGCGGUAAUACGUAGGUGGCAAGCGUUGUCCGGAUUUAUUGGGCGUAAAGCGAGCGCAGGCGGUCAAUUAAGUCUGAUGUGAAAGCCCCCGGCUCAACCCGGGAGGUUCAUUGGAAACUUGUUGACUUGAGUUCAGAAGAGGAGAGUGGAAUUCCAUGUGUAUCGGUUAAAUACGUCUCUAUAUGUAGGACCACCAGUGCCGAAGGCGACUCUCUGGUCUGUAACUUACGCUCAGGCUCGAAAGCGUGGGUAGCAAACAGG
Molecule: ribosomal RNA, 429 nt
Filed under: Bacteroidota bacterium
Lineage: Bacteria; Pseudomonadati; Bacteroidota
Description: Bacteroidetes bacterium partial 16S ribosomal RNA
Rfam family: Bacterial small subunit ribosomal RNA
Source: RNAcentral